This 403-nucleotide ribosomal RNA is filed under the name Verrucomicrobiota bacterium. Its description in RNAcentral is "Verrucomicrobia bacterium partial 16S ribosomal RNA". It matches the Rfam family "Bacterial small subunit ribosomal RNA", at positions 355 to 776 of the family's 1533-position model. Lineage: Bacteria; Pseudomonadati; Verrucomicrobiota. The record is from RNAcentral.
UGGGGAAUAUUGCACAAUGGGGGAAACCCUGAUGCAGCGACGCCGCGUGAGCGAAGAAGGUUUUCGAAUCGUAAAGCUCUGUCCUAUGAGAAGAUAAUGACGGUAUCAUAGGAGGAAGCCCCGGCUAAAUACGUGCCAGCAGCCGCGGUAAUACGUAUGGGGCGAGCGUUGUCCGGAAUUAUUGGGCGUAAAGGGUACGUAGGCGGUCUAUUAAGUCAGGUGUGAAAGCGUGAGGCUUAACCUCAUUAAGCACUUGAAACUGAUAGACUUGAGUGAAGGAGAGGAAAGUGGAAUUCCUAGUGUAGCGGUGAAAUGCGUAGAUAUUAGGAGGAAUACCGGUGGCGAAGGCGACUUUCUGGACUUUUACUGACGCUGAGGCGCGAAAGCCAGGGGAGCGAACGGG